RNAcentral lists this transfer RNA (78 nucleotides) under Acidobacteriota bacterium. RNAcentral describes it as "Acidobacteria bacterium (groundwater metagenome) tRNA-Pro". It matches the Rfam family "tRNA". From Rfam's summary of the family: Transfer RNA (tRNA) molecules are approximately 80 nucleotides in length. Their secondary structure includes four short double-helical elements and three loops (D, anti-codon, and T loops). Further hydrogen bonds mediate the characteristic L-shaped molecular structure. tRNAs have two regions of fundamental functional importance: the anti-codon, which is responsible for specific mRNA codon recognition, and the 3' end, to which the tRNAs corresponding amino acid is attached (by aminoacyl-tRNA synthetases). tRNAs cope with the degeneracy of the genetic code in two manners: having more than one tRNA (with a specific anti-codon) for a particular amino acid; and 'wobble' base-pairing, i.e. permitting non-standard base-pairing at the 3rd anti-codon position. Lineage: Bacteria; Pseudomonadati; Acidobacteriota. The record is from RNAcentral. RNAcentral also lists the same sequence under 1 other name.
CGGGAUGUAGCGCAGCCUGGAUAGCGCACCAGACUGGGGGUCUGGGGGUCGCGGGUUCGAAUCCCGCCAUCCCGACCA